Molecule: ribosomal RNA, 495 nt
Filed under: uncultured bacterium
Lineage: Bacteria
Description: partial 16S ribosomal RNA
Rfam family: Bacterial small subunit ribosomal RNA
Source: RNAcentral
AUGAACGCUGGCGGCGUGCCUCAUCCAUGCAGGUCGAGCGAACGGACGAGAAGCUUGCUUCUCUGAUGUUAGCGGCGGACGGGUGAGUAACACGUGGAUAACCUACCUAUAAGACUGGGAUAACUUCGGGAAACCGUAGCUAAUACCGGAUAAUAUUUUGAACCGCAUGGUUCAAAAGUGAAAGACGGUCUUGCUGUCACUUAUAGAUGGAUCCGCGCUGCAUUAGCUAGUUGGUAAGGUAACGGCUUACCAAGGCAACGAUGCAUAGCCGACCUGAGAGGGUGAUCGGCCACACUGGAACUGAGACACGGUCCAGACUCCUACGGGAGGCAGCAGUAGGGAAUCUUCCGCAAUGGGCGAAAGCCUGACGGAGCAACGCCGCGUGAGUGAUGAAGGUCUUCGGAUCGUAAAACUCUGUUAUUAGGGAAGAACAUAUGUGUAAGUAACUGUGCACAUCUUGACGGUACCUAAUCAGAAAGCCACGGCUAACUACGU